UGUAGCUUAGUUGGUAGAGUGCUUGCCUAGCAUGCAUAGAGUUCUGGGUUCCAACCCCAGCA
RNAcentral lists this transfer RNA (62 nucleotides) under Mus musculus (house mouse). It matches the Rfam family "tRNA", at positions 6 to 65 of the family's 71-position model. From Rfam's summary of the family: Transfer RNA (tRNA) molecules are approximately 80 nucleotides in length. Their secondary structure includes four short double-helical elements and three loops (D, anti-codon, and T loops). Further hydrogen bonds mediate the characteristic L-shaped molecular structure. tRNAs have two regions of fundamental functional importance: the anti-codon, which is responsible for specific mRNA codon recognition, and the 3' end, to which the tRNAs corresponding amino acid is attached (by aminoacyl-tRNA synthetases). tRNAs cope with the degeneracy of the genetic code in two manners: having more than one tRNA (with a specific anti-codon) for a particular amino acid; and 'wobble' base-pairing, i.e. permitting non-standard base-pairing at the 3rd anti-codon position. Lineage: Eukaryota; Metazoa; Chordata; Mammalia; Rodentia; Muridae. RNAcentral also lists the same sequence under 1 other name. The record is from Rfam by way of RNAcentral.